RNAcentral lists this ribosomal RNA (755 nucleotides) under uncultured Mycobacterium sp. RNAcentral describes it as "bacterial SSU rRNA". It matches the Rfam family "Bacterial small subunit ribosomal RNA", at positions 603 to 1356 of the family's 1533-position model. Lineage: Bacteria; Bacillati; Actinomycetota; Actinomycetes; Mycobacteriales; Mycobacteriaceae. The record is from RNAcentral.
CACGGCUUAACUGUGAGCGUGCGGGCGAUACGGGCAGACUUGAGUACUGCAGGGGAGACUGGAAUUCCUGGUGUAGCGGUGGAAUGCGCAGAUAUCAGGAGGAACACCGGUGGCGAAGGCGGGUCUCUGGGCAGUAACUGACGCUGAGGAGCGAAAGCGUGGGGAGCGAACAGGAUUAGAUACCCUGGUAGUCCACGCCGUAAACGGUGGGUACUAGGUGUGGGUUUCCUUCCUUGGGAUCCGUGCCGUAGCUAACGCAUUAAGUACCCCGCCUGGGGAGUACGGCCGCAAGGCUAAAACUCAAAGAAAUUGACGGGGGCCCGCACAAGCGGCGGAGCAUGUGGAUUAAUUCGAUGCAACGCGAAGAACCUUACCUGGGUUUGACAUGCACAGGACGCCGGCAGAGAUGUCGGUUCCCUUGUGGCCUGUGUGCAGGUGGUGCAUGGCUGUCGUCAGCUCGUGUCGUGAGAUGUUGGGUUAAGUCCCGCAACGAGCGCAACCCUUGUCUCAUGUUGCCAGCGGGUAAUGCCGGGGACUCGUGAGAGACUGCCGGAGUCAACUCGGAGGAAGGUGGGGAUGACGUCAAGUCAUCAUGCCCCUUAUGUCCAGGGCUUCACACAUGCUACAAUGGCCGGUACAAAGGGCUGCGAUGCCGCGAGGUUAAGCGAAUCCUUUUAAAGCCGGUCUCAGUUCGGAUCGGGGUCUGCAACUCGACCCCGUGAAGUCGGAGUCGCUAGUAAUCGCAGAUCAGCAAC